RNAcentral lists this ribosomal RNA (1448 nucleotides) under metagenome. RNAcentral's name for it is "bacterial SSU rRNA". It matches the Rfam family "Bacterial small subunit ribosomal RNA". The record is from RNAcentral.
UGGCGGCGUGCCUAACACAUGCAAGUCGAGCGAGAAAGCUCCUUCGGGAGUGAGUACAGCGGCGGACGGGUGAGUAACACGUGAGAAUCUGCCCUUUAGUGAAGAAUACCAUCGAGAAAUUGAUGUUAAUUCUGCAUACGUCCCUUCGGGGAGAAAGGUGGCCUAUUUGCUACCGCUGAAGGAUGAGCUUGCGGACUAUUAGCUUGUUGGUGAGGUAAAAGCUCACCAAGGCAAUGAUGGUUAACUGGCCUGAGAGGGUGUUCAGUCACAUUGGAACUGAGAAACGGUCCAGACUCCUACGGGAGGCAGCAGUGGGGAAUAUUGCGCAAUGGGCGAAAGCCUGACGCAGCGACGCCGCGUGGAGGAUGAAGGUCUUCGGAUCGUAAACUCCUGUUAAGUGGGAAGAAAAGUCUGACUCUAACAUAGUCAGAUAAUGACGGUACCAUUAGAGAAAGCACCGGCUAACUUCGUGCCAGCAGCCGCGGUAAUACGAGGGGUGCAAGCGUUAUUCGGAAUCACUGGGCGUAAAGGGUGUGUAGACGGCGUACUAAGUCGAUUGUUAAAUUUCUCGGCUCAACCGAGAACCCGCAAUUGAUACUGGUAUGCUUGAGGGUGGAAGAGAGAAGUGGAAUUCUCGGAGUAGCGGUAAAAUGCGUAGAUCUCGAGAGGAACACCAAUGGCGAAGGCAGCUUCUUGGUCCACUCCUGACGUUGAUACACGAAAGCGUGGGGAGCAAACAGGAUUAGAUACCCUGGUAGUCCACGCCGUAAACGAUGAUCACUAGACGUUAGUUCUGUUUUUACAGGAUUAGUGUCGCAGCUAACGCGUUAAGUGAUCCGCCUGGGGACUACGGUCGCAAGAUUAAAACUCAAAGGAAUUGACGGGGGUCCGCACAAGCGGUGGAACAUGUGGUUUAAUUCGACACUACGCGAGGAACCUUACCUAGGCUUGACAUGUAUCUGACAGCCGUAGAAAUACGGUCUUUUGGAUUUCGGUUCAGACAGGUACACAGGUGCUGCAUGGCUGUCGUCAGCUCGUGUCGUGAGAUGUUGGGUUAAGUCCUCUAACGAGCGCAACUCCUACUGUCAGUUGCUACCUGCGUAAGCAGGGCACUCUGACGGAACUGCCUGGGAAACCAGGAGGAAGGUGGGAAUGACGUCAAGUCAUCAUGGUCCUUAUGCCUAGGGCUACACACGUGUUACAAUGGCCAGUACAAAGGGCAGCAAGUCUGCGAAGGCAAGCAAAUCCCAAAAAGCUGGUCUAAGUUCGGAUUGAGGUCUGCAAUUCGACCUCAUGAAGUUGAAAUCGCUAGUAAUCGCGCAUCAGCAACGGCGCGGUGAAUACGUUCUCGGACCUUGUACACACCGCCCGUCACACCACGAAAGUUCUUUGUACCCGAAGCCGUUUUAGCUAACCCGAAAGGGAGGCGAACGUCUAAGGUAUGGGGG